Molecule: non-coding RNA, 23 nt
Filed under: Cricetulus griseus (Chinese hamster)
Lineage: Eukaryota; Metazoa; Chordata; Mammalia; Rodentia; Cricetidae
Source: RNAcentral
AGUCUCACUGUACCAGGCGGCCG